CUCUGUCGUGGGGGAUAACGUAGGGAAACUUACGCUAAUACCGCAUACGACCUACGGGUGAAAGCAGGGGAUCUUCGGACCUUGCGCGAUUGAAUGAGCCGAUGUCGGAUUAGCUAGUUGGGGGGGUAAAGGCCCACCAAGGCGACGAUCCGUAGCUGGUCUGAGAGGAUGAUCAGCCACACUGGAACUGAGACACGGUCCAGACUCCUACGGGAGGCAGCAGUGGGGAAUAUUGGACAAUGGGCGCAAGCCUGAUCCAGCCAUACCGCGUGGGUGAAGAAGGCCUUCGGGUUGUAAAGCCCUUUUGUUGGGAAAGAAAUCCAGCUGGCUAAUACCCGGUUGGGAUGACGGUACCCAAAGAAUAAGCACCGGCUAACUUCGUGCCAGCAGCCGCGGUAAU
RNAcentral lists this ribosomal RNA (400 nucleotides) under uncultured bacterium. RNAcentral describes it as "bacterial SSU rRNA". It matches the Rfam family "Bacterial small subunit ribosomal RNA", at positions 129 to 524 of the family's 1533-position model. The record is from RNAcentral.